RNAcentral lists this ribosomal RNA (1372 nucleotides) under uncultured bacterium. Its description in RNAcentral is "partial 16S ribosomal RNA". It matches the Rfam family "Bacterial small subunit ribosomal RNA", at positions 28 to 1381 of the family's 1533-position model. The record is from RNAcentral.
GAUGCACUCUGGCGGCGUGCCUAAUACAUGCAAGUCGAGCGAACGGACGAGAAGCUUGCUUCUCUGAUGUUAGCGGCGGACGGGUGAGUAACACGUGGAUAACCUACCUAUAAGACUGGGAUAACUUCGGGAAACCGGAGCUAAUACCGGAUAAUAUUUUGAACCGCAUGGUUCAGAAGUGAAAGACGGUCUUGCUGUCACUUAUAGAUGGAUCCGCGCUGCAUUAGCUAGUUGGUAAGGUAACGGCUUACCAAGGCAACGAUGCAUAGCCGACCUGAGAGGGUGAUCGGCCACACUGGAACUGAGACACGGUCCAGACUCCUACGGGAGGCAGCAGUAGGGAAUCUUCCGCAAUGGGCGAAAGCCUGACGGAGCAACGCCGCGUGAGUGAUGAAGGUCUUCGGAUCGUAAAACUCUGUUAUUAGGGAAGAACAUAUGUGUAAGUAACUGUGCACAUCUUGACGGUACCUAAUCAGAAAGCCACGGCUAACUACGUGCCAGCAGCCGCGGUAAUACGUAGGUGGCAAGCGUUAUCCGGAAUUAUUGGGCGUAAAGCGCGCGUAGGCGGUUUUUUAAGUCUGAUGUGAAAGCCCACGGCUCAACCGUGGAGGGUCAUUGGAAACUGGAAAACUUGAGUGCAGAAGAGGAAAGUGGAAUUCCAUGUGUAGCGGUGAAAUGCGCAGAGAUAUGGAGGAAUAACAGUGGGGAAGGGGAGUUUUUGGUCUGUUUCUGACGGUGAUGUGUGAAAGAGUGGGGAUUAAAUAGGAUUAGAUACACUGGUUGUGUAGUCGUAAACGAUGAGAGAUAAGUGUUGUGGGGUGUGCGGCCCUUAUUGCUGCGGCUUAUGGAUUAAGCAAUCCGCCUGGGGAGUACGACCGCAAGGUUGAAACUCAAAGGAAUUGACUGGGAGGCGCACAAGCGGUGGAGCAUGUGGUGUUAUUUUAAGCAACGCGAAGAAACUUACCAAAACUUGAGAUCCUUUGUAUAAGUCUAGAGAUAGAGAUUUUCCCUUCGGGGGGAAAAAAUACAGGUGGUGGAUGGGUGUUGUCAUCUCUUGUCGUGAGAUGUUGUGGUUUAGUUCCGCAACGAGAGCAACCCUUAAGCUUAAUUGUCAUUUUUUAUUUGGGGACUCUAAAUUGAAUGUGGGUGACAAACAGGAGGAAGGGGGGGAUGAGAUUAAAAUUUUAUGCCCCUUUUGAUUUGGGGUUCACAUAUGUUUCUUUGGGAAAAUAAAAGGGGAGUGGAUAUGCGAGGGGGAGAGAAUUCCAAAAAGUUGUUCUUUUUUUGGAUUUAGGUUUGGUACUUUACUAUUUGAGAUGGGAGUCUGGAUUAAUUUUAGAUUGAUUGUUAGGGGGGAUAAAUUUUCGGGUUU